Molecule: ribosomal RNA, 392 nt
Filed under: uncultured Gammaproteobacteria bacterium
Lineage: Bacteria; Pseudomonadati; Pseudomonadota; Gammaproteobacteria
Description: bacterial SSU rRNA
Rfam family: Bacterial small subunit ribosomal RNA
Source: RNAcentral
AAUGGGCGCAAGCCUGAUCCAGCCAUGCCGCGUGAGUGAUGAAGGCCCUAGGGUCGUAAAGCUCUUUCGCCUGUGAAGAUAAUGACGGUAGCAGGUAAAGAAACCCCGGCUAACUCCGUGCCAGCAGCCGCGGUAAUACGGAGGGGGUUAGCGUUGUUCGGAAUUACUGGGCGUAAAGCACGCGUAGGCGGAUUAGUAAGUCAGAGGUGAAAUCCCGGGGCUCAACCCCGGAACUGCCUUUGAUACUGCUAGUCUUGAGUUCGAGAGAGGUAAGUGGAAUUCCGAGUGUAGAGGUGAAAUUCGUAGAUAUUCGGAGGAACACCAGUGGCGAAGGCGGCUUACUGGCUCGAUACUGACGCUGAGGUGCGAAAGUGUGGGGAGCAAACAGGAUU